This 425-nucleotide ribosomal RNA is filed under the name Fusarium lacertarum. Its description in RNAcentral is "eukaryotic LSU rRNA". The stretch from base 78 to 231 matches the Rfam family "5.8S ribosomal RNA". The record is from RNAcentral. Lineage: Eukaryota; Fungi; Ascomycota; Sordariomycetes; Hypocreales; Nectriaceae.
UCCGGCGUAAAAAGGGCCGCCGAGGACCCUAAAUGGUUUUCAGUGGAACUUUUGAGUAAAACAAACAAAUAAAUCAAAACUUUCAACAACGGAUCUCUUGGUUCUGGCAUCGAUGAAGAACGCAGCAAAAUGCGAUAAGUAAUGUGAAUUGCAGAAUUCAGUGAAUCAUCGAAUCUUUGAACGCACAUUGCGCCCGCCAGUAUUCUGGCGGGCAUGCCUGUUCGAGCGUCAUUUCAACCCUCAAGCUCAGCUUGGUGUUGGGACUCGCGGUAACCCGCGUUCCCCAAAUCGAUUGGCGGUCACGUCGAGCUUCCAUAGCGUAGUAAUCAUACACCUCGUUACUGGUAAUCGUCGCGGCCACGCCGUAAAACCCCAACUUCUGAAUGCAGACCUCGGAUCGGUCCGCCGGUCCGCCACGCAGUCGA